RNAcentral lists this long non-coding RNA (2608 nucleotides) under Salmo salar (Atlantic salmon). RNAcentral describes it as "lncRNA (ENSSSAG00000106386.1)". Lineage: Eukaryota; Metazoa; Chordata; Actinopteri; Salmoniformes; Salmonidae. The record is from RNAcentral.
GGCCAUGUGAAAAAUAUUGCAACUUUAUUAAUUUCAUUCAUCUACAAUGUCAGUAUGUAACAGUUUUCACGUUACAGAAAAUAUGAGCUAUAAACUGAAUAUCUCAACACUUGAAAAUAAAACAUUAUUCAAAUACAGCUUUAGUUUGAUGCAAGAAUCGACCUACAAAACAUUAUGGAGCGGGAUGUAGAUUAUUUUGGUAGAUAAAAGGGUCUGCAGUUUACCAUGAGGUAAUCUACACUGAGUAUACAAAACAUUAAGGACACCUGCUCUUUCCAUGACACAGACUGACCAGGUGAAAGCUAUGAUCCCUUAUUGAUGUCACUUGUUCAAUCCACUUCUAUCAAUGUAGAUGAAGGGGAGGAGACAGGUUAAAGAAGGAAUUUUAAGCUUUGAUACAUUUGAGACUUGGAUUGUGUAUGUGUGCCAUUCAGAGGGUGAAUUGGCAAGACCAAAUACUUAAGUGCCUUUGAACUUGAUAUGGUAGAAGGUGCCAGGCACACUGGUUUGUGUCAAGAACUGUUUUUAACGCUGAACAAUUUCCUGAGUGUGUCAAGAAUGCUCCACCACCCAAAGGACAUCCAGACAACUUGACAACUGUGGGAAGCAUUAGAGUCAACAUGGGUCAGCAUCCCUGCGGAACACUUUCGACACCUGGUCCAUGGCCCGACAAAUUGAGGCUGUUCUGAGGAAGAAAGGGAGGAGGUGCAACUCAAUAUUAGGUAGGUAUUCUUAAUGUUCUGCAUCUUCAGUGUAUUGUGUAGAUAUAAAGAGGAUUCAAAGGAGGAAAAGCUAAACAAUUGGAAAAACAAACCAAUGUACAAAAAAUUAUUUGGUAAUGCCCCACAUUCUUGAUAAAACGCUGUUCCAAUGACAUCAGAACGUCAGUAAGGUUUGUCUUUUAAAGCCUCCUCAUCCCCAGCAAGCCGAAUUAACAUAUUUAAUAAUAAUAUCCUAUGUACUGAAAACAUGUUCAUAACACUGCCAUUAAAACAUAGCUUUGAAAUAAUGUAACAUGCAACAUUUCCUCUGCAGUGUUUUAUUAUAGUUUCAACCUCUGUGUGUGAAAUAUUGCAACAUAAAGUAAUGACAAAAACCUACCAGUCUACAAGAGCAUAUUAUCAUGUUUUACAAAGGUUUUGCAUUGAUAUUUGCAGUAUCACAUUAUGUAAAGUGUGUAAAAUUGUUUUAAAGUUGAGAACUUCAUCAUACUUUCUAGGCCAACACUUUUCAGAAAAGGUACAUGAUUCUUGAUGUGAAGUAAUUAUGGAAUUGAAUAAUGGCUUGAUAAUCAAUAUUGAAGUGCAAUUGAAUCAACAGCAUUAGUUCCAAUGUGCAGCUGGUUCCAUUUGCUUUAAUGCAUAUGGAUGGUGUGUUGUAACCAUGACUAUGUCCAGCGGAGUGUUUGUCUGUCAGGGUUGGGGUCAAUUCGAACUGAAGUCGGUCAAUUCGAAUUGAAGUCGGUCAAUUCGGGAAGUUAACUCAAAUUCCAAUUCAAUAAUAAAUUGACCCCAACCCUGUUGUCUGUAGAACCUUACAGAUGAUAAGAAUAUAAUAUUAGGUCGUCAAAGGCAGUAUGAAAUAGUCUGAUAUUUAAUAAAAAAAAUAGAAAAGGAUAUUUUUCAGGCCAUAUAAGUAAACCACUAAAGAGAUUAAGCAGUUUAAUUUGUUUCAUGCAGUUCUGCUGUCAUGUUAUGCAACCUGUACAUCAUUUUAAUUCCUAUUUCACAACUUAAAGGGAUAGUUCCCCCUAACGACAUAUCGUAAUUAUGACACGAAUGCUAAAAAAUUAGCAUUUGGAGACAGUGGCCAGAUAAACAAAACCAAAGUAUGGAUUGCUGUCUUAACUUACAGGGUAAGAAAAUCAGUGUAAUUUUGUAAUUUGGGUGAACUAUCCCUUUAAUGCAUUCACUUUGAUAUUCAUUCCAAUACUCUUGAAGUUUACACAUGUGGCCAGUGCAUGUUCCUCUCACUAUGGUAAACAAAUGAAAGCCAUGUAUAUUGACAAGAUGCCAUGAGGUCAUAUCAUUUCCUUUUCACAGGGAGCAAACCUAUCAAAAGAGAAGAAGCUCAGGGCUCUAUUUUCGGCUGGAGCUACGGCGGCACAAGUGCCAAACGCACAAAGUCAGCAUGUAAAAACGGUCGCUUUGGCGUUUUCCACCCCAUGUGCCAGGUUCAGCAACGCAUCAGUGUAAUAUCAGCUCGCUUGCGCUGUGUCAAUAUUUUAGGCGUGCCCUUGAAAACAAGCUCAAAAGUGACAAUUUCAUGCAGCACAUAUCGGGAGAUUUAAGACCAAUGAAAAGCCGGUCUUUGCGGUAACGCGGUUGGUAAUGGCAAGGAUUUUGUGAGCGGAAGCGCAACCUGUGACCCUUAUACUCAUGGAAGAAGAGAGGAUAUGUUUUCUCUUUUGGUUUCAUUUGAUUAAAAACUGUGCAUAAUCCUCCCUUCCUCUCAAUGAAGGCAGUUGUUUUCUCCUGCCAAAUGCGUUCACCAAGUAGCCAAGCCUAACAAUAAAGGGUUUGGCUAGUGAGACCGCUUUGAAAUAAAUCUUAACCAACAAAGCUUAAUAAAAAAUGUAAGUUUGGGAGCAGAAAAAGAGUAAGUGGAC